GAUGAACGCUAGCGGCAGGCCUAACACAUGCAAGUCGAGGGAGAGGUUACCUUCGGGUAACCAAAACCGGCGCACGGGUGCGUAACGCGUAUACAAUCUGCCUUUCACAUAGGGAUAGCCCGAAGAAAUUUGGAUUAAUACCUAAUGGUAUAUAAGAGCGGCAUCGUUUUUAUAUUAAAGCUACGGUGGUGAAAGAUGAGUAUGCGUUCUAUUAGCUAGUUGGAGAGGUAACGGCUCCCCAAGGCGACGAUAGAUAGGGGUUCUGAGAGGGAUGUCCCCCACACUGGUACUGAGAUACGGACCAGACUCCUACGGGAGGCAGCAGUGAGGAAUAUUGGACAAUGGUCGGAAGACUGAUCCAGCCAUGCCGCGUGCAGGAUGAAGGUCCUACGGAUUGUAAACUGCUUUUGUAAGGGAAGAAUAAGGAGUACGUGUACUUUGAUGACGGUACCUUACGAAUAAGCAUCGGCUAACUCCGUG
Molecule: ribosomal RNA, 480 nt
Filed under: uncultured bacterium
Lineage: Bacteria
Description: partial 16S ribosomal RNA
Rfam family: Bacterial small subunit ribosomal RNA
Source: RNAcentral